This 478-nucleotide ribosomal RNA is filed under the name uncultured bacterium. Its description in RNAcentral is "partial 16S ribosomal RNA". It matches the Rfam family "Bacterial small subunit ribosomal RNA", at positions 28 to 523 of the family's 1533-position model. The record is from RNAcentral.
GACGAACGCUGGCGGCGUGCUUAACACAUGCAAGUCGAACGGUAAGGCCCUUCGGGGUACACGAGUGGCGAACGGGUGAGUAACACGUGGGUGAUCUGCCCUGCACUUCGGGAUAAGCCUGGGAAACUGGGUCUAAUACCGGAUAGGACUCCGGACUGCAUGGUCUGGGGUGGAAAGCUUUUGCGGUGGGGGAUGGGCCCGCGGCCUAUCAGCUUGGUGGUGGGGUGAUGGCCUACCAAGGCGACGACGGGUAGCCGGCCGGAGAGGGUGACCGGCCAGACUGGGACGGGGAUCCGGCCCAGACUCCUACGGGAGGCAGCGGUGGGGAAUAUUGCACAAUGGGCGCAAGCCUGAUGCAGCGACGCCGCGUGAGGGAUGACGGCCUUCGGGUUGUAAACCUCUUUCAGCAUCGACGAAGCGAAAGUGACGGUAGGUGCAGAAGAAGGACCGGCCAACUACGUGCCAGCCGCCGCUGUAA